RNAcentral lists this small RNA (242 nucleotides) under Arabidopsis thaliana (thale cress). RNAcentral describes it as "ATSL206400". Lineage: Eukaryota; Viridiplantae; Streptophyta; Magnoliopsida; Brassicales; Brassicaceae. The record is from RNAcentral.
CCGUGGUGUAUCUCCAGCACCAAUGUUUGCAGGGCCAUUCUGUUGAUUUUGUUCGUCGGCCAUUUCAAGUGGUUGCUGGGGUACAAGGUUGACUGUGUUUCUCCUUUCUCUGAGUUCGCGAGCUAUGCGGUCGAUGUUAUCGUUGAUAAGUAGGUUCUGGUUGCCUGUUGAUCGAGUUUGCAUACAGCAGAGGUAUACCUGGAUCAAGAAGACAACAAGAAAAACACACAGUUAGUACUUGA